This 773-nucleotide ribosomal RNA is filed under the name uncultured Neocallimastigales. RNAcentral's name for it is "partial large subunit ribosomal RNA". It matches the Rfam family "Eukaryotic large subunit ribosomal RNA", at positions 24 to 636 of the family's 3401-position model. Lineage: Eukaryota; Fungi; Neocallimastigomycota; Neocallimastigomycetes; Neocallimastigales. The record is from RNAcentral.
AUGUGAUCGUCUCUCGCAUAUCAAUAAGCGGAGGAAAAGAAACUAACAAGGAUUCCCCUAGUAACGGCGAGUGAAGCGGGAAGAGCUCAAAUUUGAAAUCUUAAAGGGUUUCCCUUUACGAAUUGUAGUUUAAAGAAGUGUUUUCUGUUGAGGUUUUGGUAAAAGUUCUUUGGAAUAGGACAUCAUAGAGGGUGAGAAUCCCGUAUUUGACCUUUACUUUCAACUUUGUGAUACACUUUCAAAGAGUCGGAUUGUUUGGGAAUGCAGUCCAAAAUGGGUGGUAAAUUUCAUCUAAAGCUAAAUAUUGGCGAGAGACCGAUAGCGAACAAGUACCGUGAGGGAAAGAUGAAAAGAACUUUGAAAAGAGAGUUAAACAGUACGUGAAAUUGUCAAAAGGGAAGCGUUUGACACCAGUGUUGUUUUUCUGAAAAUCAAUUAAAGAACUGUAUAUGCUAAGUUGUUUAGACUUUAUCAGCUAACUGUUUAGUUUUGAGCUUUUCUUUAAUGCACUUUUCAGUUAACAAGUCAACAUCAAUUUCUUUUGCUGUAAAAAAGCUUGAGGAAGGUGGCUUGAGAUUCGUCUUAAGUGUUUAUAGCCUCUUGCCUAUGCAGUCGGAGAGAUUGAGGUCUGCAGCGUAGAUCCUUCGGGGCUAAAUGCAUUUGUGCUAAGUUAUAGCAUUUUAUAGACAACUUGUUGACUAUGAUUUGUCUUGUAGCUUACUCGCUUAUGUUAUUUUACCUACGCUUAGGAUGUUGAUAUGCAUGACUGAUAU